Molecule: long non-coding RNA, 352 nt
Organism: Stegostoma tigrinum
Lineage: Eukaryota; Metazoa; Chordata; Chondrichthyes; Orectolobiformes; Stegostomatidae
Exons: 3
Source: RefSeq, a predicted model, not a curated record
GGGGUAGGAGUGGAAGAAUCAGAGUGUUUCUUUGAAAAUUGGCUUGAUGUGUCUGUCCAAGGGUCAUCUGGAGGAAAAAAUACAAGUAUAUCUUCAAACAAGUAGCUGAACCCACAGAUUUAUGUGACCAACGAAGCCUGAGCCUUUUGCUUCACGAUGCAGUCCAGAUCCCUCGGCAGCUGGGUGAGGUAGCUUCAUUUGGAGGCAGCACCAUUGAACCAAGUGUCCGCAGUUGCUUCCAACAUGCACUCAGACAUGAACUAAUGGAUAAGGAGGAGACAAUCAUAACUGCUUUGGAUUCAGCCCAUAGAAGGGCCAGAGGAGCCGCGCUGACACCUUCAUGUUUAAACAG